AGAGUUUGAUCCUGGCUCAGGAUGAACGCUAGCUACAGGCUUAACACAUGCAAGUCGAGGGGAAACGACAUCGAAAGCUUGCUUUUGAUGGGCGUCGACCGGCGCACGGGUGAGUAACGCGUAUCCAACCUGCCCACCACUUGGGGAUAACCUUGCGAAAGUAAGACUAAUACCCAAUGAUAUCUCUAGAAGACAUCUGAAAGAGAUUAAAGAUUUAUCGGUGAUGGAUGGGGAUGCGUCUGAUUAGCUUGUUGGCGGGUAACGGCCACAAGGCGACGAUCAGUAGGGGUUCUGAGAGGAAGGUCCCCCANAUUGGAACUGAGACACGGUCCAAACUCUACGGGAGCA
This 348-nucleotide ribosomal RNA is filed under the name uncultured bacterium. RNAcentral describes it as "bacterial SSU rRNA". It matches the Rfam family "Bacterial small subunit ribosomal RNA", at positions 8 to 349 of the family's 1533-position model. The record is from RNAcentral.